Cavia porcellus (domestic guinea pig) is the source of this 64-nucleotide transfer RNA. It matches the Rfam family "tRNA". From Rfam's summary of the family: Transfer RNA (tRNA) molecules are approximately 80 nucleotides in length. Their secondary structure includes four short double-helical elements and three loops (D, anti-codon, and T loops). Lineage: Eukaryota; Metazoa; Chordata; Mammalia; Rodentia; Caviidae. The record is from Rfam.
GGGGAUUUAGCUCAGCGGCAUAAGCGCCUGCCUUGCAAGCAGGUAGUCGUGAGUUCGAUCCCCG